GCGUGGCUUUCAAUAAAGAUUGCUGCUUCAUUUCCUGCGAAUGCGCCUUGCUUCAGAGAAGACCUUUCCAAGGGAACGCGGUACACUCAGAUACUAGCUGUCUCUCUGGAUUGCUUUCCCGCUAGAACUGAUUAGCAGCUGGGAAUCUCCAGUCGGACAGCGAAGCAUGGGAAUUUUGCGCUCAUAGAAGUUGCUGGGGAAUACCGUUAUUUUGUUUUGGAGCAGACGGAAAAGAGGAGAAGUGAGAGGGCGUUUCUCAAUCUUGGUUCAUUCAUUUGGCCUGCUGGGGAAUGUGGCAGCGAGCUACUAGGUUCAUCGGUGGGGCGGUUUGUUCACACCAAGCCACCGGGACUUUUAUUUGAGUUUUCAGGUCUUUCAAAAUGCACUGUCCCUUUUUUCGUGCCCCCUGCUCUCGUGCACGUGCUCAGCAGUUCGGCGUCGCCGGUGAUAGUCCACAGAUGCUACGAGGCGAAGGACUGUGCAGAAUUGUCGUGUGGCUGUGAAAUCGUAGUCGCAUUGCUCAUUUGCACGCCUAGAGGCUGGAAACAAACAGAACAUCCCUUAUUGUGUGGAUGCCGCGUGACGUUUUGCGUGCGUCGUCUCCGGUGCAAGAUGGGUUAACAAGACGGGAAACAGCGGAUUCGCUUAGACGCUCUGAUGCUCAAUUAAGGGGCGACUCGCGUUGCACCCUCCAACUUUAGGAGUGAAUUUGACGCUUAGUACAGUAACUGCAAUUACAGCCUCUUCACGUGCUUUGUCCGGGCGGGAGCAGAGCCAUGAGACCCACGGCAGGGGCUUUCUGAGUUACAAGUGAUAGUGCACGAUCCCAAAAAGACGUAGUCUGACGCCUGUCUCACAAAAACAGUGGCAGAGGAUAAACACACAGUCGAUUUGUGAAAGAGGGAUUUUCGCUUAACAAAAAGCUAGAGUUUCUGAGCUCCACCGAAAAAUUCACAGCAGCAUGUGCGGGAACCGCUUUCCGCAGGAGUUGUCAACGUGAUGCGUCAUGCGAAUGCGUGGGUGCCAGGUGUUCGUCAGAAACAGAAACGGCACACUUGGGAGGAGAGAGCAUUUUCAUGCGUUUCAACCUCGGGUACCAAAGAAGCUAGUGUUCUUCGGAUGCACCAGUAUUCGUGCUUGACGAGACGGCCCGAGUUCCAUUAUCUGCACACUGUACCUGCGUCCAGUGGUAGAAGCCGUCAGUACUAUGCAUCUCAAAAUCUUUGUUGUUCGCCCUGUACUCAAUCGAAAAGACUCUGAACACGUUGAACGGCCGGGGUGCGUUCUCUUGCACGGUUCUAGAGAGCGAACACUGCUGUAUGGCUACCUAUGCUGCGUUUAGAACCUCGGACCUGGUGAUUUCUUCUUCCAUUUUCUCGUCUAGUUUGCAGUUCCUGAGCGAAAGACGCUGUCUCGAG
This 1418-nucleotide long non-coding RNA is filed under the name Toxoplasma gondii VEG. The record is from RNAcentral. Lineage: Eukaryota; Apicomplexa; Conoidasida; Eucoccidiorida; Sarcocystidae.